Molecule: long non-coding RNA, 2941 nt
Organism: Oncorhynchus tshawytscha (Chinook salmon)
Lineage: Eukaryota; Metazoa; Chordata; Actinopteri; Salmoniformes; Salmonidae
Source: Ensembl
CGUCAUGUAUCUCAUUCCUUUUCACUCGGUUUGGAAAUGGCUCGCUGUGUAUCGCGAGUGUGUAAUGUGCUUGUUUUACGCGGUUGUUUCUUUAUGGCGGUUAACAUCGGCUUGUAAACAAAAAGCCCGUCUACGUCAGCCACUAUGUAGCCAAAAUGUCGUCUUUUAUUUGACUUCCACAUUCUAUGUCCCAUGCCACAAACCGAUGGCGUCGUGAGGGGGGGAUGGAGGGAGUGUGAAAGAGACCCACAAACGAGUAGCGAGGCCACACUAGGUAUCCCCAUCUCAGAGCUGAGCGCUCCAUGCCACUAGCGGGUCUGGCCGAACCUAUCUUUAGUAGGCCCGUCCAGAACCUGUCUUUCUUCAACUUAGUUUUCCUGUCAAGUUAUCGGCCCAUUUAAAGAUACAGCGCGUGUUCAGAGGCUAAUAAUGACCAACCAAUUGAAACAAGUCCCGAUGUUUUUUUUGUGCUGGUGGAUACAUUUGGUACGACCAUGGAGGAAUGGUUAGGCUACUUUGAAACUGAUAAUGUAGGUCUGCCAGGUCUGAGUUGGUGAAGAUACGUUGUUGCAGACACUCCAUUGCAUCAACAUGCAAUAGACUCGAGGCUGAUGCUUCUUGUUCCAAAUGAAUGGAUUUCUGACCCAAUCUCUAGUCUUUUGUGAAGCAUCAGCAUUAGCCUCAACUACAGUUAUAAUCUAGUUAGUCCAGGGGAACACAGAUCUGGCCCUAGGAGGUCUGGAGUACUGCUGCUUUUCUGUUCUACCUGAUAAUGAAUUGCACCCACAAUACAGUCAGGGACAGAUAUUUAGGCAACACAGUGAUAUGGAUUAUUGUACUGCAUUACAGGUACGCCCAAUGUAAUAGAUCAUUAAUAGUAGUCAGAUCUUGGUGAAUAAACACUGUCGCAGGUAGUGCACUGCAUACCAGGUGCUACUGAACAUCUGGUUUAUGAGUUGAUAGUCUGGUACUGGAGAUUAUAGUAAUGUCAUGGAGGUGGUACAGUAGAUUAUAGUAAUAGUAAUGUCAUGGAGGUGGUACAGUAGAUUAUAGUAAUGUCAUGGAGGUGGUACAGUAGAUUAUAGUAAUGUCAUGGAGGUGGUACAGUAGGUUAUAGUAAUGUCAUGGAGGUGGUACAGUAGAUUAUAGUAAUGUCAUGGAGGUGGUACAGUAGAUUAUAGUAAUGUCAUGGAGGUGGUACAGUAGUUAUAGUAAUGUCAUGGAGGUGGUACAUAGAUUAUAGUAAUGUCAUGGAGGUGGUACAGUAGAUUAUAGUAAUGUCAUAGAGGUGGUACAGUAGAUUAUAGUAAUGUCAUGGAGGUGAUACAGUAGAUUAUAGUAAUGUCAUGGAGGUGGUAUAGUAGAUUAUAGUAAUAGUAAUGUCAUGGAGGUGGUACAGUAGAUUAUAGUACUAGUAAUGUCAUGGAGGUGGUACAGUAGGUUAUAGUAAUGUCAUGGAGGUGGUACAGUAGAUUAUAGUAAUGUCAUGGAGGUGGUACAGUAGGUUAUAGUAAUGUCAUGGAGGUGGUAUAGUAGUUUAUAGUACUAGUAAUGUCAUGGAGGUGGUACAGUAGGUUAUAGUAAUGUCAUGGAGGUGGUACAGAAGAUUAUAGUAAUAGUAAUGUCAUGGAGGUGGUACAGAAGAUUAUAGUAAUAGUAAUGUCAUGGAGGUGGUACAGUAGAUUAUAGUAAUAAUAAUGUCAUGGAGGGGGUACAGUAGAUUAUAGUAAUGCCAUGGAGGAUGGUAUAGUAGAUUAUAGUAAUGCCAUGGAGAUGGUACAGUAGAUUAUAGUAAUGUCAUGGAGGUGGUACAGUAGAUUAUAGUAAUGUCAUGGAGGUGGUACAGUAGAUUAUAGUAAUGUCAUGGAGGUGGUACAGUAGAUUAUAGUAAUAGUAAUGUCAUGGAGGUGGUACUGUAUAUUAUAGUAAUGUCAUGGAGGUGAUAUAGUAGAUUAUAGUAAUGUCAUGGAGGUGGUAUAGUAGAUUAUAGUAAUAGUAAUGUCAUGGAGGUGGUACAGUAGAUUAUAGUAAUAGUAAUGUCAUGGAGGUGGUACAGUACUUGUUAGUAUUGCUAACCUUCGGAUUACAGAGGCUCAGUGGGGUUCCAAAAUAGCGGCCCUGGUGUUCAGUGCUGGUAUUACCGAAUGUCCCUGGAUGGCACAAGGUCGGUAUGAAGGUAUGAUGAUCUUUAUAUCACCCAAACCUACCAGGCUGUGAUAGACUGACAGGAUGCUCUCAAUGGUGCAUCUGUAGGCGGUCUUAGGGGGCCAACCUCCUGAUAUUGAAGAGAUGCUGUUACACCAUUUUCACUCAACUCUGUAACUGUUUUAAAGUUACAGUUGGCCUUAUGAAAUCCCUGAACAGUUUCCUUUCUCUCUGACAACUGAGUUAGGAAGGACGUCUGUAUCUUUGUAGUGACUGGGUAUAAUGAUACGCCAUCCAAAUUGUAAUUAAUAACUUCACCAUGUGCAAAGGGAUAUCCAAUGUUCAAUAUCCAUCUACCAAUAGGUGCCCUUCUUUACGAGGCAUUGGAAAACGUCCCUGGUCAAAAUGUGGAAAAAGUCAAGAGGCGUGAAUACUUUCUGAAGGUACUGUAGGUCCUUAGUGAUGUGGACACCGAGGAGCCUAAAGCUCUCAACCCGCUCCACUACAGCCCUGUCGAUGUGAAUGGGGGCGUGCUUGGUUCUCCGUUUCCUGUAGUCCACCAUCAACCAGUUUUGAUAGUAAAGUGGAAAGUGCAAGAACAAAAUUAUGUUUGGAUUCUUGCGAGGGCAUAGUGUACUGUCGUCUUGUUAUAGUCUUGUGUCUCGCUCUUCCGGCGCCUGGACGCUCUUCCGGCGCCGACAGAGAUGGCCGCCUCGCUUCGCGUUCCUAGGAAACUAUGCAGUUUUUUGUUUUUUUACGUGUUAUUUCUUACAUUAGUACCCCAGGUCAUCUUAGG